This 488-nucleotide ribosomal RNA is filed under the name Bacillus subtilis. RNAcentral's name for it is "bacterial SSU rRNA". It matches the Rfam family "Bacterial small subunit ribosomal RNA", at positions 393 to 871 of the family's 1533-position model. The record is from RNAcentral. Lineage: Bacteria; Bacillati; Bacillota; Bacilli; Caryophanales; Bacillaceae.
CACGCCGCGUCAGAGAUCAAGGUUUUCGGAUCGCAAAGCUCUGUUGUCAGGGAAGAACAAGUACCGUUCGAACAGGGCGGUACCUCGACGGUACCCAACCAGAAAGCCACGGCUCACUACGUGCCAGCAGCCGCGGUCAUACGUACGUGGCAAGCGUUGUCCGGAAUUAUUGGGCGAAAAGGGCUCGCAGGCGGUUUCUCAAGUCAGAUGUCAAAGCCCCCGGCUCAACCGGGGAGGGUCAUUGGAAACUGGGGAACUUCAGUGCAGAAGAGGAGAGUGGAAUUCCACGUGUCGCGGAGAAAUGCGUACAGAUGUGGAGGAACACCAGUGGCGAAGGCGACUCUCUGGUCAGAAACAGACGCAGAGGAGCGAAAGCGUGGGGAGCGAACAGGAUCAGAUACCCUGGUCGUCCACGCCGUAAACGAUCAGUGCUCAGUGCAAGGGGGUUUCCGCCCCUCAGUGCUGCAGCAAACGCACAAAGCACUCCG